Molecule: long non-coding RNA, 392 nt
Organism: Harpia harpyja (harpy eagle)
Lineage: Eukaryota; Metazoa; Chordata; Aves; Accipitriformes; Accipitridae
Exons: 2
Source: RefSeq, a predicted model, not a curated record
CUUGUCUCUGCCAGCUAGUUUAAGGGAGAGCAAGUUUAAAGCAGGGGUUUGCACUCUGGAGCAUCUACCUGUCCCAUCGGUAACUGUGGCUGUGACUCACAGAACAAGGUACAGAAGACAUUUCUGCAGAUGUGUUCACAGUCUGAAGUAUUCCACAGGACCUUCCAAUUAAGUAGACUACUUCUGAGAAUAGCUUUUACUCAUGAUGUAGGAAGCAUUAAAAAGAGGUAUCAAGACAGUUCUCUCAAUUAUUUAUUCAAAACCUAACAGUGGUUUGUAGCAGGAACAUGCUUCUUACUCUCAGUUCCAACCAGUCCAAACUAUGCAUGAAAGCUUAUACCUGUCUGAUAAUUUGACAGAUUUCACACAUAGAAAUACAACAUUUUAUUGAA